RNAcentral lists this ribosomal RNA (406 nucleotides) under uncultured bacterium. Its description in RNAcentral is "partial 16S ribosomal RNA". It matches the Rfam family "Bacterial small subunit ribosomal RNA", at positions 29 to 526 of the family's 1533-position model. The record is from RNAcentral.
AUUGAACGCUGGCGGCAGGCCUAACACCUGCAAGUCGAACGAGUGGCGGACGGGUGAGUAAUGUCUGGGAAACUGCCUGAUGGAGGGGGAUAACUACUGGAAACGGUAGCUAAUACCGCAUACCAUCAGAUGUGCCCAGCUGGGAUUAGCUAGUAGGUGGGGUAACGGCUCACCUAGGCGACGAUCCCUAGCUGGUCUGAGAGGAUGACCCGCCACAGUGGAACGGAGACACGGUCCAGACUCCUAAGGGAGGCAGCAGUGGGGAAUAUUGAACAAAGGGCGCAAGCCUGAUGCAGCCAUGCCGCGUGUAUGAAGAAGGCCGGCGGGUUGUAAAGUACUUUCAGCGGGGAGGCGUUACCCGCAGAAGAAGCACCGGCUAACUCCGUGCCAGCAGCCGCGGUAAUAC